GAUGAACGCUAGCGACAGGCCUAACACAUGCAAGUCGAGGGGCAGCACGAAGUAAGCUUGCUUACUUUGGUGGCGACCGGCGCACGGGUGCGUAACAGGUGUGCAAUCUGUCCAUAAUCGGGGAAUAGCCCAGCGAAAGUUCCGGCGGUUUGAGAUGGACAUGCGUUGUAUUAGCUAGUUGGUGAGGUAACGGCUCACCAAGGCGACGAUACAUAGGGGGACUGAGAGGUUAACCCCCCACAUUGGUACUGAGACACGGACCAAACUCCUACGGGAGGCAGCAGUGAGGAAUAUUGGUCAAUGGACGCAAGUCUGAACCAGCCAUGCCGCGUGCAGGAUGACGGCUCGUAUGAGUUGUAAACUGCUUUUGUAUAUGGGUAAAUGUAGGUACGUGUACCUAUUUGAAAGUAUAUACGAAUAAGGAUCGGCUAACUCCGUG
This 439-nucleotide ribosomal RNA is filed under the name uncultured bacterium. Its description in RNAcentral is "bacterial SSU rRNA". It matches the Rfam family "Bacterial small subunit ribosomal RNA", at positions 28 to 507 of the family's 1533-position model. The record is from RNAcentral.